CCUACGGGUGGCAGCAGUGGGGAAUAUUGCUCAAUGGAGGAAACUCUGAAGCAGCGACGCCGCGUGAGGGAAGACGGUCUUCGGAUUGUAAACCUCUGUCUUUGGGGAAGAAAAUGACGGUACCCAAAGAUGAAGCUCCGGCUAACUACGUGCCAGCAGCCGCGGUAAUACGUAGGGAGCGGGCGUUUUCCGGAAUUACUGGGUGUAAAGGGCGCGUAGGCGGGCGGUAAAGUUGAAGGUUAAAUCUACGGGCUUAACUGGUAGCUGCGUUCAAAACUUCUUGUCUUGAGUGAAGUAGAGGCAGGCGGAAUUCCUAGUGUAGCGGUGAAAUGCGUAGAUAUUAGGAGGAACACCAGUGGCGAAGGCGGUCUGCUGGGCCUUAACUGACGCUGAGGCUCGAAAGCGUGGGGAGCAAACAGGAUUAGAUACCCUAGUAGUC
Molecule: ribosomal RNA, 439 nt
Filed under: uncultured bacterium
Lineage: Bacteria
Description: partial 16S ribosomal RNA
Rfam family: Bacterial small subunit ribosomal RNA
Source: RNAcentral